Molecule: ribosomal RNA, 426 nt
Filed under: uncultured bacterium
Lineage: Bacteria
Description: bacterial SSU rRNA
Rfam family: Bacterial small subunit ribosomal RNA
Source: RNAcentral
UGGGGAAUUUUGGACAAUGGGCGAAAGCCUGAUCCAGCAAUGCCGCGUGUGUGAUGAAGGCCUUCGGGUUGUAAAGCACUUUUAGUGGGAACGAAACGGUCCGGGCUAAUACCCUGGACUAAUGACGGUACCCGCAGAAUAAGCACCGGCUGACUACGUGCCAGCAGCCGCGGUAAUACGUAGGGGGCGAGCGUUGUCCGGAUUUAUUGGGCGGAAAGAGCUCGUAGGCGGUUUGGCAAGUCGGGUGUGAAAACUCCGGGCUCAACUCGGAGGCGCCACUCGAUACUGCUAUGACUCGAGUCCGGUAGGGGAGUGCGGAAUUCCUGGUGUAGCGGUGAAAUGCGCAGAUAUCAGGAGGAACACCGGUGGCGAAGGCGGCACUCUGGGCCGGAACUGACGCUGAGGAGCGAAAGCGUGGGGAGCGAA